UCUGUCUAUAAUGUUGGUGAAGA
This 23-nucleotide non-coding RNA is filed under the name Arabidopsis thaliana (thale cress). The record is from RNAcentral. Lineage: Eukaryota; Viridiplantae; Streptophyta; Magnoliopsida; Brassicales; Brassicaceae.